AAGACUAUAGACCUGCGGAGUACCUGCGGAAGGAUCAUUAUUGAAUUUACACAAGAAAAAUUUUGCGCUUUCUCUUGGAAGAGAGAACAGUGCAUGAUUUUUCCCCAAACAAACGAUCACAACUAACAGAGAAAACUCUAAACUGGUUUGGAUACAAGUGUUUGCCUGAUAAUCAAGUGAUUUGGAUUGAAGAAAGAAAUACAACUUUUAGCAAUGGAUCUCUAGAUCGGAAGAGCACAC
Molecule: unclassified non-coding RNA, 240 nt
Filed under: soil metagenome
Description: partial contains 5.8S ribosomal RNA, internal transcribed spacer 2, and large subunit ribosomal RNA
Source: RNAcentral